Molecule: non-coding RNA, 1634 nt
Organism: Anas platyrhynchos (mallard)
Lineage: Eukaryota; Metazoa; Chordata; Aves; Anseriformes; Anatidae
Source: RefSeq, a predicted model, not a curated record
CAUCCCUAAACAUUGCAGGUUUGGGGUGUUUUGGUCACCUCUCUUUCUGCAGGGAAGGCACCAGGAGAGGAGCUGAGGAGCCGUCAAGAAGAGGGACCUGAUGGUCGGAAACGUGGAGCUGACACAGCUUGGCCUUGGAGGACCUUCAAAUUUCGGGCAAGAAGGUUGCUGUUAGGCAGGAAAAACAUUAAAAGCAAAGAGGGGUUCAAAUAGCUGACACUUCUUAGGCAAUUACCAUUAAAGUGAGCGUUGGCACUGGUGAUGGGAGAGCUGAUGGGAACAUGCUGUUUUGGUCAGCACCUCCUCGCCGCGCCGGGUAACUGGAGCCCCGUCCCUCCUCCCGCGGCAAGCCUCCGAGACAAGCUCCAGUGAAAAGAACCGAUUAUUUCCCUCCCUAAAUUCUUGCGACUGCAAUUUUCAUUGCCUCCUGUCCAAAGCGGUUCUGGUGCAAUGUUAACGUGAUGGACGGCAGCUGUAUUUCACCCAGCUUGACUUGUUUGCAAGGGCCCCGGGUUUGUCAGGUCUGUCACAUGCUUUGAAAUACAAUCCUCGGGAACCAAACUAGGAAAGCUUACGGUUGUUUCCUAUUCCUCUUCUCACCCAAAUAUGUACAACCUCAUCAGCAUUACGCUGCAGCUGGUUGAGAAAUUUCCAAGAGAGCGUUGUUUUGUUUUGGUUUUUGUCAGAAAAUGUUGAGCUGUCAAAACCAAGGAUUUGUGUCGAAAUGUAAUCGUUUUGACGAAACUGUCAUCGGGGAAAGUCUCUCAGCUCUGGGAUGGAAAGCCUGAUCAAAACCAGACAGAUUGAGGGAGACAACCAGAGCCGCGACAGCCGGCAGCGCGGGGCGGAGGAGCCAGCACCGGCUGGGUCGGGGCCGUGCCACUCGGGGACCUCAGGGUGCCCACGGCGCAGGGCGAGCGCUGCUCCCACCUUGCCUGCUCUGCAAAACCAUCCUGAGACAGAGCGCACCGGGGAGCUCAGCCUCCGUGAGCCCGCUGCGUAUCACCAAGGACAUGCUGUCUGCAGGGACCAGGUGGUUUCUCCUCCCAGCACUGCCCACCUCUGCCUGCCCACGUCCCAGCACUGCGAGCACGCAGAGCCCACGGAGCCGCACAGCAUCCGGACACAUCUCCGCUCCUCCCCCUGGGACUGCCGGUGCUCUCCUGUUACCUCUCCUUCCUGAGCUUUGCUCAGGGCCAUAAAUAACAGCAGUUCCUGCCUGACAGUACGGAAAGCCACAAAGCCAGCGCGACAGGUGCAUACCCGCAGAGGGCUCUGGCCCCUCUCCAUGCACCCGCUCAGCUCCUCGGGGGCCAGAUCCUGCCGCCUGCGUCUGCGGGUGCACAGCGCCCGUCUGAGCGAUCUGCCAGACGAGGACAUUAGCAAUGAAAGAGGCAAUUGGCUUUGCAUCCGCCGGGUCUCGGUUUCACCAUCUGUAACCUGGGGUUAAUGAUGUCUACUUCAGGAAAAUGCUUGAAGAUCUUUGGAUGAAAAAAUGUGUGCAAGCGCAAAUUAUCCUGCUUAUGACAUGAGGAGGUUUAUGGCCUGCAUGGCUCUUAAUAAUGCAUUAAUUAUGCUUACAGUAUUAAAAGUGUUCUGUGAUUAAGCAAAUAAUUACAGAAAUAAAUGAGUAA